CCCUAAGGCGAGGCCGAAAGGCGUAGUCGAUGGGAAACAGGUUAAUAUUCCUGUACUUGGUGUUACUGCGAAGGGGGGACGGAGAAGGCUAUGUUGGCCGGGCGACGGUUGUCCCGGUUUAAGCGUGUAGGCUGGUUUUCCAGGCAAAUCCGGAAAAUCAAGGCUGAGGCGUGAUGACGAGGCACUACGGUGCUGAAGCAACAAAUGCCCUGCUUCCAGGAAAAGCCUCUAAGCAUCAGGUAACAUCAAAUCGUACCCCAAACCGACACAGGUGGUCAGGUAGAGAAUACCAAGGCGCUUGAGAGAACUCGGGUGAAGGAACUAGGCAAAAUGGUGCCGUAACUUCGGGAGAAGGCACGCUGAUAUGUAGGUGAAGUCCCUCGCGGAUGGAGCUGAAAUCAGUCGAAGAUACCAGCUGGCUGCAACUGUUUAUUAAAAACACAGCACUGUGCAAACACGAAAGUGGACGUAUACGGUGUGACGCCUGCCCGGUGCCGGAAGGUUAAUUGAUGGGGUCAGCGCAAGCGAAGCUCUUGAUCGAAGCCCCGGUAAACGGCGGCCGUAACUAUAACGGUCCUAAGGUAGCGAAAUUCCUUGUCGGGUAAGUUCCGACCUGCACGAAUGGCGUAAUGAUGGCCAGGCUGUCUCCACCCGAGACUCAGUGAAAUUGAACUCGCUGUGAAGAUGCAGUGUACCCGCGGCAAGACGGAAAGACCCCGUGAACCUUUACUAUAGCUUGACACUGAACAUUGAGCCUUGAUGUGUAGGAUAGGUGGGAGGCUUUGAAGUGUGGACGCCAGUCUGCAUGGAGCCGACCUUGAAAUACCACCCUUUAAUGUUUGAUGUUCUAACGUGGACCCGUGAUCCGGGUUGCGGACAGUGUCUGGUGGGUAGUUUGACUGGGGCGGUCUCCUCCUAAAGAGUAACGGAGGAGCACGAAGGUUGGCUAAUCCUGGUCGGACAUCAGGAGGUUAGUGCAAUGGCAUAAGCCAGCUUGACUGCGAGCGUGACGGCGCGAGCAGGUGCGAAAGCAGGUCAUAGUGAUCCGGUGGUUCUGAAUGGAAGGGCCAUCGCUCAACGGAUAAAAGGUACUCCGGGGAUAACAGGCUGAUACCGCCCAAGAGUUCAUAUCGACGGCGGUGUUUGGCACCUCGAUGUCGGCUCAUCACAUCCUGGGGCUGAAGUAGGUCCCAAGGGUAUGGCUGUUCGCCAUUUAAAGUGGUACGCGAGCUGGGUUUAGAACGUCGUGAGACAGUUCGGUCCCUAUCUGCCGUGGGCGCUGGAGAACUGAGGGGGGCUGCUCCUAGUACGAGAGGACCGGAGUGGACGCAUCACUGGUGUUCGGGUUGUCAUGCCAAUGGCACUGCCCGGUAGCUAAAUGCGGAAGAGAUAAGUGCUGAAAGCAUCUAAGCACGAAACUUGCCCCGAGAUGAGUUCUCCCUGACCCUUUAAGGGUCCUGAAGGAACGUUGAAGACGACGACGUUGAUAGGCCGGGUGUGUAAGCGCAGCGAUGCGUUGAGCUAACCGGUACUAAUGAACCGUGAGGCUUAACCU
This 1555-nucleotide ribosomal RNA is filed under the name Escherichia coli PA22. Its description in RNAcentral is "bacterial LSU rRNA". It matches the Rfam family "Bacterial large subunit ribosomal RNA", at positions 1389 to 2925 of the family's 2925-position model. The record is from RNAcentral. Lineage: Bacteria; Pseudomonadati; Pseudomonadota; Gammaproteobacteria; Enterobacterales; Enterobacteriaceae.